This 447-nucleotide ribosomal RNA is filed under the name Triticum aestivum (bread wheat). RNAcentral describes it as "partial small subunit ribosomal RNA". Lineage: Eukaryota; Viridiplantae; Streptophyta; Magnoliopsida; Poales; Poaceae. The record is from RNAcentral.
AUGGGGAAGGACGGGAAGGGGAAGGAGGCCAAGGGGAAGGGCAAGCAGGCGGCCGGCUCCUCCGACGACGCCGGAGGCGGCAAGGGAGGCAAGGGCAAGGGCAAGGGCGGCAAGGGAGGCGACGACCUCGGCACCUGCACCUUCGUCAAAGCUAGGCACGUGUUGUGCGAGAAACAGGGGAAGAUCAAUGAGGCGUACAAGAAGCUGCAGGAAGGCUGGUUGGACAACGGGGACAAGGUCCCUCCUGCUGAGUUUGCCAAGGUAGCCCAAGAAUUCUCUGAAUGCCCAUCAGGAAAGAAAGGUGGGGAUCUUGGAUGGUUCCCGCGUGGCAAAAUGGCUGGUCCUUUCCAGGAGGUUGCGUUUAACACACCUGUGGGAGCUACUAGUGCACCAUUCAAGUCUACGCACGGGUACCACUUCAUCCUCUGUGAAGGCAGGAAGAACUGA